ACUCAAAGGAAUUGACGGGGGCCCGCACAAGCGGUGGAGCAUGUGGUUUAAUUCGACGCAACGCGAAGAACCUUACCCAGGCUUGACAUGCACUGGACGGGUGUGGAAACACACCUUCCCUUCGGGGCCGGUGCACAGGUGCUGCAUGGCUGUCGUCAGCUCGUGUCGUGAGAUGUUGGGUUAAGUCCCGCAACGAGCGCAACCCUUGCCCUUAGUUGCUAUCAGGUAAUGCUGAGCUCUCUAAGGGGACUGCCGGUGAUAAACCGGAGGAAGGUGGGGAUGAUGUCAAGUCCUCAUGGCCCUUACGCCUGGGGCUACACACGUGCUACAAUGGCCGGUACAAAGGGUUCCGAAGUCGCGAGAUAGAGGCAAUCCCAAAAAACCGGUCUCAGUUCGGAUUGCAGUCUGCAACUCGACUGCAUGAAGUUGGAAUCGCUAGUAAUCGCUGAUCAGCAGGCAGCGGUGAAUACGUUCCCGGGCCUUGUACACACCGCCCGU
This 498-nucleotide ribosomal RNA is filed under the name uncultured bacterium. Its description in RNAcentral is "partial 16S ribosomal RNA". It matches the Rfam family "Bacterial small subunit ribosomal RNA", at positions 899 to 1397 of the family's 1533-position model. The record is from RNAcentral.